CACACGUGUCCCUGAGCCGGGAGCUCAGUGACCUGCGGGACAACCAGGAGCUGCUGGAGAGGAACGGGUUGGUGCUGGCUCUGGCACUGUCAGAGCUGGAGGGGAACCAAACGUGGCUGCAGCAGCACGGUGCGGUGACAGCGGCGCUCCUGGAGGUGCUGUCAGCCAAUCAGAGCGCGGCACAGAGGAAAGGUGGGGACAC
Calypte anna (Anna's hummingbird) is the source of this 202-nucleotide long non-coding RNA. RefSeq lists it as uncharacterized. The transcript is spliced from 3 exons. Lineage: Eukaryota; Metazoa; Chordata; Aves; Apodiformes; Trochilidae. The record is from RefSeq and is a predicted model, not a curated record.